UAAUGUUUGAUGUUCUAACGUGGACCCGUAAUCCGGGUUGCGGACAGUGUCUGGUGGGUAGUUUGACUGGGGCGGUCUCCUCCUAAAGAGUAACGGAGGAGCACGAAGGUUGGCUAAUCCUGGUCGGACAUCAGGAGGUUAGUGCAAUGGCAUAAGCCAGCUUGACUGCGAGCGUGACGGCGCGAGCAGGUGCGAAAGCAGGUCAUAGUGAUCCGGUGGUUCUGAAUGGAAGGGCCAUCGCUCAACGGAUAAAAGGUACUCCGGGGAUAACAGGCUGAUACCGCCCAAGAGUUCAUAUCGACGGCGGUGUUUGGCACCUCGAUGUCGGCUCAUCACAUCCUGGGGCUGAAGUAGGUCCCAAGGGUAUGGCUGUUCGCCAUUUAAAGUGGUACGCGAGCUGGGUUUAGAACGUCGUGAGACAGUUCGGUCCCUAUCUGCCGUGGGCGCUGGAGAACUGAGGGGGGCUGCUCCUAGUACGAGAGGACCGGAGUGGACGCAUCACUGGUGUUCGGGUUGUCAUGCCAAUGGCACU
Molecule: ribosomal RNA, 532 nt
Filed under: Salmonella enterica
Lineage: Bacteria; Pseudomonadati; Pseudomonadota; Gammaproteobacteria; Enterobacterales; Enterobacteriaceae
Also listed under: 1 other name
Description: partial 23S ribosomal RNA
Rfam family: Bacterial large subunit ribosomal RNA
Source: RNAcentral